CUAUGCGCCUUGCCAGCCCGCUCAGGUGUGCCAGCGCCGCGGUAAUACGUAGGGAGCAAGCGUUGUCCGGAAUUACUGGGCGUAAAGGGCGCGUAGGUGGGCGCUUAAGUCAGGUGUGAAAACUCCGGGCUCAACCUGGAGACUGCACUUGAAACUGGGUGUCUUGAGGGCAGGAGAGGAAAGUGGAAUUCCUAGUGUAGCGGUGAAAUGCGUAGAUAUUAGGAAGAACACCAGUGGCGAAGGCGGAUUACUGGACGACAACUGACGGUGAGGCGCGAAAGCGUGGGGAGCAAACAGG
Molecule: ribosomal RNA, 298 nt
Filed under: uncultured bacterium
Lineage: Bacteria
Description: partial 16S ribosomal RNA
Rfam family: Bacterial small subunit ribosomal RNA
Source: RNAcentral